CUACGGGAGGCACCAGUAAGGAAUAUUGCGCAAUGGAGGCAACUCUGACGCAGCCAUGCCGCGUGCAGGAAGAAGGCCUUAUGGGUCGUAAACUGCUUUUAUUUAGGAAUAAACCCUCACUCGUGAGCGAGGCUGAAGGUACUGAAUGAAUAAGCACCGGCUAACUCCGUGCCAGCAGCCGCGGUAAUACGGAGGGUGCAAGCGUUAACCGGAUUUAUUGGGUUUAAAGGGUGCGCAGGCGGGCUAUUAAGUCAGUGGUGAAAUCCCGGGGCUCAACUCCGGAACUGCCAUUGAUACUGAUAGUCUUGAGUUUGGUUGAAGUGGGCGGAAUGUAGCAUGUAGCGGUGAAAUGCAUAGAUAUGCUACAGAACACCAAUCGCGAAGGCAGCUCACUAAGCCAAAACUGACGCUCAUGCACGAAAGCGUGGGGAUCAAACAGGAUUAGAUACCCCAGUAGUC
This 459-nucleotide ribosomal RNA is filed under the name uncultured bacterium. RNAcentral describes it as "partial 16S ribosomal RNA". It matches the Rfam family "Bacterial small subunit ribosomal RNA", at positions 339 to 795 of the family's 1533-position model. The record is from RNAcentral.